Long non-coding RNA from Erinaceus europaeus (western European hedgehog), 1901 nucleotides. RefSeq lists it as uncharacterized. The transcript has 2 exons. NCBI's taxonomy places the organism in Eukaryota, Metazoa, Chordata, Mammalia, Eulipotyphla, Erinaceidae. The record is from RefSeq and is a predicted model, not a curated record.
CCACAGACUAGGACCCCACACCCAUGUGCCCCCAUGAAGUAGCGCCAUGUCCGGACCAUGGGGGACCCCAAUCACAUGUCCCCCCACCUGUGCUCCCGUUAAGGAGGGGACCCCCAUGCGCCCUCUGAGUGCGGGGUCCCCAAACCACGGGCCUCCUUCCCAACUCCCAGCGCAGCUCUGGAGGGGGGAGUCCAGCUCCUAGGGGGCACUGGCCCAGACCCCGCCUACCCACGGACCCCCAUCUACCACCAGGAGUGAGGGCGCUGGAGACACCCACCCCCAAGGGAAGCCGGGCUGAGUCAGGCGGCUCGGUGCUGUGCUGCACAGUGCCCAAAAGGCUUGCUCCUGCCUCCAGACUCAGCCAUCUCCUAGAGGCAGGCCGUGCAGGCUCCUGGAAGUCACAGGCUCCCUGACAUCAGCACGAUCCUUUCCAGAAGCCUCCCCACCACCACCAUCCGGGCUCCAGGAACAAGCGUCUGGGUAGAGCAAACCUGGCCCAUUGUUCUCCACGAAGGAAGCCAUUUAGAUGUCUUUUUGUUUUGCUUAGAGUCGUCAACCAGCAAAAGUAUUUCCUAAAUACCCCUGAUUGACCGGUUCAAUUAGAAAUAGAUUACCUUCCAAUUACUUCACAAGGAUGGGCUUAAUUAACCUUUAAUAAUCACAUCAUUAUUCAGUUUUCCGAGAUAACAAAUGAGAAGCCCCUCUUGGAAACUAUAAAACAUGCCACGUGGCCUCGAAAAUGAAGCGUCCCUUCAUCUCCACAUUGAAAACCGGUGUGAGUGGCGACUGACGAGGCCUGGGGCUUUCCAAGAGCCGGGUCUCCGAAGCCAAGAACAGAUGCAGCAACACAUGCGACGUCACUCCAAGAGUAAACAGAAAAGGCCUUCCACCGGGCACACACUCAGAACCGGCACUGUAUUUCAGGGCUCGGCCUUCCGACAGCAUCCUGGGGGCUGUUCGCUCUCCCUUCUGGAGAAGAGAAUUUUCUCCAACAUCUAUCAUUUCAUUUUCUCAGCCAGGUUUUCAACGCCGUCCACACGUAUACUUUGAAUCAACAUAUUUUGAUGUAGUCUGCACUACUAAUCUGUGAAAAGAUGAUAAAACCGUUGUGAAAUCAACACUUUUUCCGCCCCCCUCUAAGUAAGAUCAAGAGCGUGAGGCCCGUGUUCAAGCAUACAAAGAAACUUUCAGAGCAACGGAACAGACUGGCCAUUGUGUGUGCGCUAGCAGAAGCUAGCCCAGCUCUGGCCAAAAAUAACUCGGCCAGAUAGUCUUGUGAAAUGGACUCUGAGUGUACUUUGAUAUAACAUUGAAUGAGAGUUAACAGAGCCUGGGGAUCUAGAACUUGCUAAGACAGUUAUUCUGUCUCAGCGUGAGAGGGGCAGGAGAGCUCAGGGUUUAGGUGCUGACUGCCGAGUCUUGUAGCUGAGUCCUGUCUGAAUUUGGUGUGUGGGGGAAAGGCAGCCUGCGGCUGGCAGAUCCCAGCGGGAGCAGGUCCUGGCCUCAGCACAGUCCGGACAUGGGAGCACUCUCCCCCCUGUGGAAAGGCUGACCGUCCGCCCAGCCUUCUGCUGCAGCAGAGCUGUGUUCUGUCUUUCUCUGUCCCAGCACCACUUGCCCGGGCGAUUUCUGCUUAUGUCGAAUGAUUAAUCGGGGGUCCCUGAGGACAAAGACCUCUCUGCAUUACUGUUACUUACUCUCCUGUGCAGCUCACGUAGCCCGAGUUCAGCAGCAGUCUGUGAAUUCAGUGCACACACCUGCCUGCCAGAGAUUCGGUGGGCGCUGGGGUGGUCCGCACACUCGGUUCACGUGUCUAAAGCAUGUGGCAUGUCCCGGGCCCUUCCCUGCUGCAGAUACCCUGGGUUUCCAGCCGAGCAGGAAAGAUAAACAAUUGAAACAAA